Hemicordylus capensis (graceful crag lizard) is the source of this 1963-nucleotide long non-coding RNA. RefSeq lists it as uncharacterized. The record is from RefSeq and is a predicted model, not a curated record. NCBI's taxonomy places the organism in Eukaryota, Metazoa, Chordata, Lepidosauria, Squamata, Cordylidae. The transcript is spliced from 2 exons.
UGCCACAGGCUCAGUGCACAACCGCACAGAUGCUCUGUGCGGGGUCACCUAGUGUAUUUUUAAAAUAUAAUAAAUUAUUAUUCAUAUAUAUAAAUGCUUAAAACCCCAAAAUGUGCCAAAAGUCAUAUAAACAUUCUUAUAUGGUUGUUGUGAGAAAGAAACCUAAGUAUGUAGUCCUCCGCUCUGGGCUCCUUGGAGGAAGAGCGGGAUAUAAAUGUAAAAUAAUAAUAAUAAUAAUAAUAAUAAUAAUAAUAAAUGUACCAUAUCCACUAUGUAGAUGAAAUAGCAAUUAUCACAGAGGAAUCUAGUCUCCUAGAGCCUGAAAAUGUUCAUCUUCCUACAUGUGAUGAGGUCAUCCAUGGCCACGGUAGCAUGCAAGACCCAGGAAUGCUGAGCACUUGCCUGCAAAUGUUCAUCACUUCAGGCAGCAAAAGGUUUGGAAGUGCCCUGACCACAAACACACACAAACUGCUUGUGCCCAUUGCAGAUCCGAAACUACACUACAAUCUAUCAAUCAAUAGCUUUGUUACCAUCCUUGACCAGAUUUCAGCAUUAUAGUACAAAGCUAACAUCCCAUGCAGUUGGUGCAGCCUUUCAGAUAUCACAGUAGAGGAAGUUUACCCCAAUCGGGGACAUAUCCUUACCUAACUGAUUGAAGGGGCCUUCACCAUUGCUUGACAAAUCUUGUAAGCAAUGGCACAAAAUUGAGCAACCAAGAGGUAACAAAUACAGUCUUAUCUGCAAGGAGAUAGGUGACAUAAAACCCCACUGGUCUUCCCUGUAAGUUCUCUGAAAGGGCUAAAAUCAGUUUGCUAUGUGGAAUGAUGGAAAAUUUACAAUGAAGUAAACAAACCCAUCUGCUCCACAAGAACACUUGCGCAGGGGAUAGGCUAUCUUUUUAUAUCUCCCCUCCAACUAAGCUAAUGGGAAAACAUGAUUGGGAGGCAAGCAGCAUGUGCUAGUUGGCCAGCCGGCUGCAGAAGCCCUGAGGGGGCGGAGCCACUGCAGUUCGUCCAGGGUUGAGGAAACCUGGCAGGCGGAGGGUGGGGCCAGGAUAGACCAUGCCCCUUGCCCAACCAGCCGGAUGAGCCAAGCCAAGGUCGGGCGGGUGACCAGGCGAGGGGCUGAUAUGGUAGCCUAUGGCGCUCGCGCUCUGGCUGUUCCCCUCGCAGGAGGGGCUGCACGGCCAGAGUUGAGGCGGCGGCGAGAGCGGGAAAGCUGUGGCAAGCAGGAAUGCCCCCCUCUGCUAAGCAGGAUCCACCCUAGUUUGCAUUUGAAUGGGAGACUACAUGCACAAUCUCCGUAAGAUAUUCCCUUCAGAGGAAGAGCACCUGCCUGCUUGCAUGCAGCAGGUGCCCAGUUCCCUCCCUGACAGCAUCUCCAAGAUAGGGCUGAGACUGAGAGAGACUCCCGCCUGCAGCCUUGGAGAAGCCACUACUAGUCUGUGUAGUCAGUACUGAAAUAGAUUGUCUAAGAGUCUGACUCAGUAGAAUGCAGCUUCCUAUGUUGUAUGAAGGACAGGCUUUUGGAAUGUGAUGAAUUGCCCGCCACCGCUGCUCACCCUGUGAGAGGGCAGGCAGACACCUCCUUCGCUCUAGCCCAGACACAGAAAGCUGGAAGGGGGCAUGGAGGUUGCCUCUCUCCCCUGCUCGUCCCAGCAUGCAGGCUGAGAUAUGGGAGGAGAGCUGGUCUUGUGCUAGCAAGCACGAAUUGUCCCCUCUGCUAAGCAGGGACUGCCCUGGUUUGCAUUUGAAUGGAAGACUACAUGUAUUAUUUUUAUGCUUGUGUUAAAACUUUUUAAAUCAGAGUUGUUUUAUGUUUUUAGCUUAAUAUUUUAAUUGUGUCAUUUGUAUAAUCUUGUUUUAAAAUUCUGCUGUUAACCACCUUGGGAUUGUUUUAAUGAAAGGCGGUAUAUAAAUUUAACAAUAAAAUAAAUAAAUACAUUAUAAUGAGCUAAGGCAAA